AACGAACGCUGGCGGCAGGCUUAACACAUGCAAGUCGAACGCACCGCAAGGUGAGUGGCAGACGGGUGAGUAACACGUGGGGAUCUGCCCAAUGGUACGGAAUAGCUCCGGGAAACUGGAAUUAAUACCGUAUGAGCCCGCAAGGGGAAAGAUUUAUCGCCAUUGGAUGAACCCGCGUAGGAUUAGCUAGUGGGUGUGGUAAAGGCGCACCAAGGCGACGAUCCGUAGCUGGUCUGAGAGGAUGAUCAGCCACACUGGGACUGAGACACGGCCCAGACUCCUACGGGAGGCAGCAGUGGGGAAUAUUGGACAAUGGGCGCAAGCCUGAUCCAGCCAUGCCGCGUGAGUGAUGAAGGCCUUAGGGUUGUAAAGCUCUUUCGCCGACGAAGAUAAUGACGGUAGUCGGAGAAGAAGCCCCGGCUAACUUCGUGCCAGCAGCCGCCGUAA
This 447-nucleotide ribosomal RNA is filed under the name uncultured bacterium. RNAcentral's name for it is "partial 16S ribosomal RNA". It matches the Rfam family "Bacterial small subunit ribosomal RNA", at positions 29 to 523 of the family's 1533-position model. The record is from RNAcentral.